Molecule: transfer RNA, 69 nt
Filed under: Athyma punctata
Lineage: Eukaryota; Metazoa; Arthropoda; Insecta; Lepidoptera; Nymphalidae
Description: tRNA-Ala
Rfam family: tRNA
About the family: Transfer RNA (tRNA) molecules are approximately 80 nucleotides in length. Their secondary structure includes four short double-helical elements and three loops (D, anti-codon, and T loops).
Source: RNAcentral
AGGAUUAUAGUUUAACUUAAAACAUUUGAUUUGCAAUCAAAUAAUAUUGAAUUAUAUCAAUUUAUCUUA